This 1350-nucleotide long non-coding RNA is filed under the name Sus scrofa (pig). RNAcentral describes it as "lncRNA (ENSSSCG00030023236.1)". The record is from RNAcentral. Lineage: Eukaryota; Metazoa; Chordata; Mammalia; Artiodactyla; Suidae.
CUCCAGGAUCCUUGUUCUUAACCGCUGUGCCACAUUCCCUGCCUAGAUAAACAGACCCAGUUUGGGCCCUCGUGUCAUGUUUGAGCAUUUGCCCCUUCUUUGGAUAUUUCUAUUUCUAUGUAUGAAAAAGAAAUCGCUCUUUACUUGUGUUUCUUAUCAUGUGUGAAAAAUCAAUCUUGAUUAGUUUAAGCCACUAUUACUUAGGGUUUCUGUUGUAUGUAGCAGAAUACAGUCCUGCUAUCCCAGCCAUCAGUAGCUAAUAACCUAUGUGACUUGAUAGUACAUCAUCAUCCCCCCCCCCACAGCCCAAUCCCUAGUUAGAAUGUUAGCACAAUGAGAGCAGGUACCACAGCAAUUGUGUGUAUGAUUGUGCUUUAGUACGGUGCCUGGUACAUGUUAGAUGCUCAACAAAUAUGUCUGAAUAAUAAAAUAAGUCAAUAAAUGAUUGAGGGCUAAAACUGCAGUAAAUCAAAUCUUCUGUGCUUGCUUUACUUAGCAUCAUGCUAAUUUGCAUUCAUUGUGUAUAGGCUAGCCAAGAGAGAAGGUGAUACUUCUAUACCUCAUGGUUAUGUCAGUCUAAAGUGGCAUUAAAAAAUACUAUGAAUAAAUCAUCAAGUCCGUGACCUAUUGAGAGUUUAACAGGAGCCAAGUUCAAGAGGACAUAAGAACAACAAAGUCAGUGAAGGAACCCAUUGGAAGUCAGUUAUUUAAUGCCCUUUCUGCUUCCUCGACUUAAUGAAAGGCAACUCGUUUUUCAAUUUGGGUCACCAAAUACCACCUUGCUUCGAAAUCUUCCCUCUCUCCCCUUCAGUUGAGAAAGGAGGCUGCCAAGAAGUCAGAACAAUGGAAGCUAAGCAAAGAUACAGAAUCAAUUUCUGAAGACCACGAGGGAAGAAGCUGAUGAAGACUCUAUGUAUAGUUAGAUAAUGGGACGUUUCAUCCCUGGAAAGAUAAUAUUAAUAACUGCUGGAGGAGGGGAGAACUGUGGAGCAAAGAAUCUUGAGGGUGAGCAGUGCUGCUCAAACCACCUGUGGCAAUAGAUCAGUUUUAAAUUUCCAAUCCAGGAGUUCCCGUCGUGGCGCAGUGGUUAACGAAUCCGACUAGGAACCAUGAGGUUGCGGGUUCGGUCCCUGCCCCUGCUCAGUGGGUUAACGAUCUGGCGUUGCCGUGAGCUGUGGUGUAGGUUGCAGACGCGGCUCAGAUCCCGCGUUGCUGUGGCUCUGGCGUAGGCCAGUGGCUACAGCUCCGAUUCGACCCCUAGCCUGGGAACCUCCAUAUGCCACGGGAACGGCCCCCCAAAAUAGCAAAAAGACAAAAAAUAAAAAAUAAAAAUAAAUAAAUAAAUUUCCA